UGGGGUUGGGCUCAAUGGUAGAGUGCUUGCCUUGCAUGUGUGAGGUCCUGGGUUCAAUCCCUGGUACCACAA
Molecule: transfer RNA, 72 nt
Filed under: Dipodomys ordii (Ord's kangaroo rat)
Lineage: Eukaryota; Metazoa; Chordata; Mammalia; Rodentia; Heteromyidae
Rfam family: tRNA
About the family: Transfer RNA (tRNA) molecules are approximately 80 nucleotides in length. Their secondary structure includes four short double-helical elements and three loops (D, anti-codon, and T loops). Further hydrogen bonds mediate the characteristic L-shaped molecular structure. tRNAs have two regions of fundamental functional importance: the anti-codon, which is responsible for specific mRNA codon recognition, and the 3' end, to which the tRNAs corresponding amino acid is attached (by aminoacyl-tRNA synthetases). tRNAs cope with the degeneracy of the genetic code in two manners: having more than one tRNA (with a specific anti-codon) for a particular amino acid; and 'wobble' base-pairing, i.e. permitting non-standard base-pairing at the 3rd anti-codon position.
Source: Rfam by way of RNAcentral